GUCACAGAUGGCGGACGGCGCGCACCACCUCGCCAACGUACACAACGCGCGUGCAGCCGUCUCUAGGCGAUGCAGACUGAUGGCCUUUUCGUUGCGGUCUCGGAGGGCAGCGACGUCAUCGGCAACCUUUGUGAGCGCCAAAAGACCGUGUGCCCACACGCCCUUUGUGGGCGCCGCCAUGUGGACGUCCACAGCACGCACGAGCCUCGCGGCCUCGGCAGUGUCGCCACUGUGGUUCCGACCCAUCAGGUCCCAUAUCGCAGACGCCACCUCAUCGGCGGUGCAAAACGAGGCAAAGAGCGCAGGCCAACGACCGACCACUUCCGACAGCCGGUCGACGUACAUGCAGGGAUCGUGUGGUGGAUGUAGCAUGCGCUCGACCUCAUCGGCUUCUGGCGCAAACCCCUCGUCGGCGACUAGCCAGUCGAGUAUGCGGGCGGCGCCACGGCCAUUGUCGUAACCCGCGAGGGCGAUCCGUGCCAGAUCGACCAUGGAGUCCGGACAAAACCGAUGGCCGCACUGCGCACGUCGUUGUUGAUCGUCAACCAGAAAGCGACACACAUCGACCAGACCGUACGCGGCGGCCGUCCUGAGCGCGUUCCUGUGGUGUUGUGUGCCGGCGCAAGCGAAAAACACCCGGGUCGCGCUCGCGAGCGCGGCAUGCCUGAUCCAGGCCGACCCUCCGGCCAGACCCGCCACCCGGAUCGAAUUGAUCAUUUGGCGUUGGUGCUCUUGGCGUGUGUCGGCGGCGCUCUGUGCAGCCGCGGACGUCCGGUCCGCAGUCCUUUGGCGGGUGGCGUUGUGAUGUUUGGCAGAGGUCGCCACCUGACGUACGGCGGUCCCUCGACGCACGCGGUCGUCCCCGCGGAUGUGCUCGGCGGUCACUGUCGGCUGGAUGAUAGCCUCUUGGCCGCGACUGGCGCGGAUGGAAGGCGCGUUCUGCGCCAUAUCGAUGAGCAAUUCGAGCACACCGACGGCGCACGUCGCCGCGGCGCGCUUCCACAAGGCCUCGUGCGAUAUGGGGAUGAGACGGGGCGCGGACACGCAGCACUCUAGCAGCGCCGACACGGUCUCGGUGCGAUCGCACUCGACGGCGCAGUGCAGGCAUUCGUCGAGCACCUUGGCAUGUUCGGCAUUUUUCUGCGCCAUUAUGAUCCGCAGUUCCCAAAGCAACGGUUGCGUGUGGCCGCAUGCAGAUAGUGCAUAUGCAUAGGCCGUGCGCGUCCGCGUCCGCGCAUUGAGGCAGGCCGGGCACGAAGGAAAUGCGGCUCCCAUGCGCGUAUGACGUCCGCACUUUGAGGCUGCGAUCAGCGCCUCGCACGCAGAGCCGACCCCGGCCGACGGAUCGAGACAGGCCAGCGGCUGUAUGAGCGAUUCCAGUCUGACGCCGUACGCCUCAGCAAAAUCUGCGAGCGCGUCGGGUGCGUGUACAAUGUCGCGCAGGCCGCGCAAAUGCUCAACGACGACACUCGUGCACAAGAUACGUCCUCGGACCCAAUUGUCGGCAGACCACAUCGCGGACCGCGGGCGCGCUGCAAUCAAUCGCAUGGCGUCAUCGGCCGAUGGAUGGCCGACGACACGGUUCCAGUCGUGACAGACCAUGCGACAGGCGCACCUAUAGCGGGGGUCGAGGAGAGGCCUGCCGCGCGCGUCAGCGCCGUUGAGCACGUACGCGACCAACUCGAUCGGCAGCGUUGCGGUGCAAUCGCGGACCGAAUGCAUCUUCUGCCCGUCGUUGUCGGCCAUGGGUUAUUUUGCGCUUUCCCCGUGUCGUCCGUUGCUCGGACCGUGCCGGCUCCUCUUGGCAGUUGUGCCAAUCAAAAAAAGCAAACAAGAAAAAAAACCGCAAUGACAACCUUUUCCUCUCAAGCGCAAUGACAGAGGUUGUGCCUGACAGCGGCCGAUGGUCUGCUUUGUGCUGCCGUGCAAUACUCUCUCUCUCUCUCUGUGAUUUGUGUGUUUCUUUCAAAGGUUUGGUGGU
RNAcentral lists this long non-coding RNA (1981 nucleotides) under Pandoravirus salinus. Its description in RNAcentral is "putative ncRNA". The record is from RNAcentral.